GAUGAACGCUGGCGGCGUGCCUAAUACAUGCCAGUCGAGCGAACAGACGAGGAGCUUGCUCCUCUGACGUUAGCGGCGGACGGGUGAGUAACACGUGGAUAACCUACCUAUAAGACUGGGAUAACUUCGGGAAACCGGAGCUAAUACCGGAUAAUAUAUUGAACCGCAUGGUUCAAUAGUGAAAGACGGUUUUGCUGUCACUUAUAGAUGGAUCCGCGCCGCAUUAGCUAGUUGGUAAGGUAACGGCUUACCAAGGCGACGAUGCGUAGCCGACCUGAGAGGGUGAUCGGCCACACUGGACCUGAAAAACGUCCAGACUCCUACGGGAGGCAGCAGUAGGGAAUCUUCCGCAAUGGGCGAAAGCCUGACGGAGCAACGCCGCGUGAGUGAUGAAGGUCUUCGGAUCGUAAAACUCUGUUAUUAGGGAAGAACAAAUGUGUAAGUAACUAUGCACGUCUUGACGGUACCUAAUCAGAAAGCCACGGCUAACUACGUG
Molecule: ribosomal RNA, 496 nt
Filed under: uncultured bacterium
Lineage: Bacteria
Description: partial 16S ribosomal RNA
Rfam family: Bacterial small subunit ribosomal RNA
Source: RNAcentral